GACGAACGCUGGCGGCGUGCUUAACACAUGCAAGUCGAACGGAAAGGCCCUGCUUUUGUGGGGUGCUCUAGUGGCGAACGGGUGAGUAACACGUGAGUAACCUGCCCUUGACUUUGGGAUAACUUCAGGAAACUGGGGCUGAUACCGGAUAGGAGCUCCUGCUGCAUGGUGGGGGUUGGAAAGUUUCGGCGGUUGGGGAUGGACUCGCGGGUUAUCAGCUUGUUGGUGGGGUAGUGGUUUACCAAGGCUUUGACGGGUAGCCGGCCUGAGAGGGUGACCGGCCACAUGGGGACUGAGAUACGGCGCAGACGCCUACGGGAGGCAGCAGUGGGGAAUAUUGCACAAUGGGCGGAAGCCUGAUGCAGCAACGCCGCGUGCGGGAUGACGGCCUUCGGGUUGUAAACCGAUUUCGCCUGUGACGAAGCGUGAGUGACGGUAAUGGGUAAAGAAGCACCGGCUAACUACGUG
This 468-nucleotide ribosomal RNA is filed under the name uncultured bacterium. RNAcentral describes it as "partial 16S ribosomal RNA". It matches the Rfam family "Bacterial small subunit ribosomal RNA", at positions 28 to 507 of the family's 1533-position model. The record is from RNAcentral.